AGACCCGAAACCCGGUGAUCUAGCCAUGGGCAGGUUGAAGGUUGGGUAACACUAACUGGAGGACCGAACCGACUAAUGUUGAAAAAUUAGCGGAUGACCUGUGGCUGGGGGUGAAAGGCCAAUCAAACCGGGAGAUAGCUGGUUCUCCCCGAAAGCUAUUUAGGUAGCGCCUCGUGAAUUCAUCUCCGGGGGUAGAGCACUGUUUCGGCUAGGGGGCCAUCCCGGCUUACCAACCCGAUGCAAACUGCGAAUACCGGAGAAUGUUAUCACGGGAGACACACGGCGGGUGCUAACGUCCGUCGUGAAGAGGGAAACAACCCAGACCGCCAGCUAAGGUCCCAAAGUCAUGGUUAAGUGGGAAACGAUGUGGGAAGGCCCAGACAGCCAGGAUGUUGGCUUAGAAGCAGCCAUCAUUUAAAGAAAGCGUAAUAGCUCACUGGUCGAGUCGGCCUGCGCGGAAGAUGUAACGGGGCUAAACCAUGCACCGAAGCUGCGGCAGCGACACUGUGUGUUGUUGGGUAGGGGAGCGUUCUGUAAGCCUGCGAAGGUGGCCUGUGAGGGUUGCUGGAGGUAUCAGAAGUGCGAAUGCUGACAUAAGUAACGAUAAAGCGGGUGAAAAGCCCGCUCGCCGGAAGACCAAGGGUUCCUGUCCAACGUUAAUCGGGGCAGGGUGAGUCGACCCCUAAGGCGAGGCCGAAAGGCGUAGUCGAUGGGAAACGGGUUAAUAUUCCCGUACUUGGUGUUACUGCGAAGGGGGGACGGAGAAGGCUAUGUUGGCCGGGCGACGGUUGUCCCGGUUUAAGCGUGUAGGUGUGUGUUCCAGGUAAAUCCGGUUCACUUUAACACUGAGGCGUGACGACGAGGCACUACGGUGCUGAAGCAACAAAUGCCCUGCUUCCAGGAAAAGCCUCUAAGCAUCAGGUAACAUCAAAUCGUACCCCAAACCGACACAGGUGGUCAGGUAGAGAAUACCAAGGCGCUUGAGAGAACUCGGGUGAAGGAACUAGGCAAAAUGGUGCCGUAACUUCGGGAGAAGGCACGCUGACACGUAGGUGAAGUGAUUUACUCAUGGAGCUGAAGUCAGUCGAAGAUACCAGCUGGCUGCAACUGUUUAUUAAAAACACAGCACUGUGCAAACACGAAAGUGGACGUAUACGGUGUGACGCCUGCCCGGUGCCGGAAGGUUAAUUGAUGGGGUCAGCGCAAGCGAAGCUCCUGAUCGAAGCCCCGGUAAACGGCGGCCGUAACUAUAACGGUCCUAAGGUAGCGAAAUUCCUUGUCGGGUAAGUUCCGACCUGCACGAAUGGCGUAAUGAUGGCCAGGCUGUCUCCACCCGAGACUCAGUGAAAUUGAACUCGCUGUGAAGAUGCAGUGUACCCGCGGCAAGACGGAAAGACCCCGUGAACCUUUACUAUAGCUUGACACUGAACAUUGAGCCUUGAUGUGUAGGAUAGGUGGGAGGCUUUGAAGUGUGGACGCCAGUCUGCAUGGAGCCGACCUUGAAAUACCACCCUUUAAUGUUUGAUGUUCUAACGUGGACCCGUUACCCGGGUUGCGGACAGUGUCUGGUGGGUAGUUUGACUGGGGCGGUCUCCUCCUAAAGAGUAACGGAGGAGCACGAAGGUUGGCUAAUCCUGGUCGGACAUCAGGAGGUUAGUGCAAUGGCAUAAGCCAGCUUGACUGCGAGCGUGACGGCGCGAGCAGGUGCGAAAGCAGGUCAUAGUGAUCCGGUGGUUCUGAAUGGAAGGGCCAUCGCUCAACGGAUAAAAGGUACUCCGGGGAUAACAGGCUGAUACCGCCCAAGAGUUCAUAUCGACGGCGGUGUUUGGCACCUCGAUGUCGGCUCAUCACAUCCUGGGGCUGAAGUAGGUCCCAAGGGUAUGGCUGUUCGCCAUUUAAAGUGGUACGCGAGCUGGGUUUAGAACGUCGUGAGACAGUUCGGUCCCUAUCUGCCGUGGGCGCUGGAGAACUGAGGGGGGCUGCUCCUAGUACGAGAGGACCGGAGUGGACGCAUCACUGGUGUUCGGGUUGUCAUGCCAAUGGCACUGCCCGGUAGCUAAAUGCGGAAGAGAUAAGUGCUGAAAGCAUCUAAGCACG
This 2097-nucleotide ribosomal RNA is filed under the name Salmonella enterica. RNAcentral's name for it is "partial 23S ribosomal RNA". It matches the Rfam family "Bacterial large subunit ribosomal RNA", at positions 711 to 2789 of the family's 2925-position model. Lineage: Bacteria; Pseudomonadati; Pseudomonadota; Gammaproteobacteria; Enterobacterales; Enterobacteriaceae. The record is from RNAcentral. RNAcentral also lists the same sequence under 1 other name.